UGCAUUUUGCGGGAGUGGAGAGUUGUCGUAGCUGGUGCUGUUUCCUUUCGGUCACAUCUAACUGUGCGAGUCCGCUGCCGCCACCUUAUUUCGGUGGUUAGCCUCUUACUCCAUCGCCCGGGGAACAGCGAAAGAGAGUUGGGGUUGCAAGUAGUGAUACCAUUUUCAUUUUCUACUUCCUGUUCUCUUCUCUCAUGUCAUCCAUUUACGAGCCGAACUGUUGUGGCUCUAUCUUCUUGUUCUUUUUACCGCGGGUAUCGCUCCAAAAUUAGUUCACUCAGACUUGGGUUUCCAAAGCACAAAUCCUCACUUACUUGUAGUCUACCUUGAAUAUAAGUUCGAUAAAACGGAUUUUUGCUGUUAAACAGGAGCUAAAUCUGGAACGAACUGAGAUUUUACUGUUCACUGCUUUAAUGCUAGAUCUUUUUGGUUGGUUCCCAAAAGAAAUUGCAGCUUCGAAGUGACGAAUCUGUGGGGGCAAAGAGGGGCUCCCCCCCCCCCCUCCCAAAAAAAAAAAAAAGAAAACUUUAAUACCCCUUUGGGAAAAAAAUAAUUUCUUACUUGUAAAAAACGUUAAAUUAGAUUUUGGCCCCCUCACUUUAUGUCUGAAUUUCAAAUUGGCCCCCCACCCCAAAAUUAGUAGCUCCUGGAUUCGUCACUGGUUUUGAAACUAGUGUGUUGGAAUUCUCUUCUAUAUAAAAAAGAAUCGUCUUCUAUAGGUUUUAUUUCUUUUAUAAUAUAUGUACAUCAAAUGAUUCAAUGAUAGGUUUGAUGCUAAAAAUAUUGGAGAACAUAAAUAAUUUUUUUAUUUUAUUGAUAAAUAAAUUUUUGGAAACCUUUUUGAAAUUGUUAGACUUGAAUUAAGGAUUAGUAGCCAGAGAAUGACUAAAUUUUUUAUCUUAGCCUCUUUUUAUUUUUAAUUAUAAUAAAUUAUUUGUGAAUUAUGAAUUUUUUAUUUAGUGAGGUGCAGGGUUGCUUUUCAGAGGAGCCGGGCAAGGGUAAGAGCUCAGAGAGUUACUGAGAGAAUUGCAAACUGCAGACAACUACAAGUUUCUUCCCAUACAAGAUGCCAUGAAGUGUAUCAAUCAAACAGUGAACAUAACGGGCAUUAUAGCAGAGUUUAGCUUGCCAAAGCGAAGUAGGGGCACUGGUGAACUUUCCAUUUGAAGGAUCCUGCUGUUUAAACAUUGCAUAUGAUGUUACAAUUUUGGAUCUCCAAUGGAGCAAGGAUCAUUCAAAAUUCACUUUUUUCUUUUAAAUUCAUGUUGAAGUUUACAAAGUGUUUGGAGAGUGAAGUUUGGUUGGUUUAGACUUAGACUGGUAAUGAUGAAUCAAAGGCCGGACUUACAGCUGCCAUUUAGUUCGCUGGUAGUAGAUUGACGAUUUUUUUUCUUUAAGAUUUCUAUUGUACCUCAAGAAUAAUUGAUGAAUCAUGUGAGAAACCUGGGCUGCUCGUUAAUAUUUUUGCUGAAAGCUCGCAACAGCUUCCUAAUGUUGUAGGAAGAGGAGACAUAGUUCAGCUUUUUAAUGUCAUGAUUCUUAUGGCUUUCCAAUGUUAAGAGAAACCAAGGAAGGAGAUUGCUGCAGUCUGGCAUGCAAGGUUGCAGUUAAGCUCCAUUGGAGUAUCUACAGGUCUAGAACCUAACAUACCAGUUUCUUUGAGGGGAUGCAGACUAUAUUUUCUCUAUGUGACAUUAAUGCCCUUAGAUGACUGAGCUACUUCCAAUCCAAGGAAUUACCUCAGGUGGUCAAGAUCUUUAAUGUUGAAUUCUGCAAAAGUCGAUGGUCUUUCCACAAAUUGCAGGUUAGAAGAUGAACUGCACAAUCCUCUUCCCUUACAUCAUGAACUAGUGCCUAUGCCAAGAGGAUUGUUGUGUACUUUUGCUACCGUUGGGUCCAUCUUGAGAGUAGCGUAAGGCAAAAGCAUGGAGAAGAACCAUCUAAAACUUUUAGAAAAUGGCAAGUGGGUCACAUUUUUCAACAUGCGUCUUGAAGUGAAUGCAGGACUAUGGCAUGGCGUGUUGACUCCAUUACAAAGCUUCGGCCAUAUGGAAUGAUGAUAUCAUAAAACAGCACGAAACGUGGCUGUCCACUCUGUUGGCUCAUAAGACAAUUGGAUAUGUAGAUCAAUUAACUGAUGUUUCGAUUUGUUGUCUUUGUAUUCAUUUUUGAGAUAGUUUGUAUGGUGAUGCGAAUUUCUAAGAACCUGAGAAGGAUGCCUCUUUGGAGCUUUCCUUGGCCUUCACAUAUUACAGGUUCGUAUGUGCAUUUCAUUAUUGUUUUGUUUCAAUGCUAUGAUUAUCAAAACAAUAUUUUCUUGUACAA
This is an RNA transcript of Prosopis cineraria, 2325 nucleotides long. It is a transcript of the gene named protection of telomeres protein 1c-like, with no coding region annotated. The transcript is spliced from 6 exons. The record is from RefSeq and is a predicted model, not a curated record. NCBI's taxonomy places the organism in Eukaryota, Viridiplantae, Streptophyta, Magnoliopsida, Fabales, Fabaceae.